AGGUGCUUGCAUCAUGAUUUACAUUUGAGUGAGUGGCGAACUGGUGAGUAACACGUGGGAAACCUGCCCAGAAGCGGGGGAUAACACCUGGAAACAGAUGCUAAUACCGCAUAACAACUUGGACCGCAUGGUCCGAGUUUGAAAGAUGGCUUCGGCUAUCACUUUUGGAUGGUCCCGCGGCGUAUUAGCUAGAUGGUGGGUAACGGCUCACCAUGGCAAUGAUACGUAGCCGACCUGAGAGGGUAAUCGGCCACAUUGGGACUGAGACACGGCCCAAACUCCUACGGGAGGCAGCAGUAGGGAAUCUUCCACAAUGGACGAAAGUCUGAUGGAGCAACGCCGCGUGAGUGAAGAAGGGUUUCGGCUCGUAAAACUCUGUUGUUAAAGAAGAACAUAUCUGAGAGUAACUGUUCAGGUAUUGACGGUAUUUAACCAGAAAGCCACGGCUAACUACGUGCCAGCAGCCGCGGUAAUACGUAGGUGGCAAGCGUUGUCCGGAUUUAUUGGGCGUAAAGCGAGCGCAGGCGGUUUUUUAAGUCUGAUGUGAAAGCCUUCGGCUCAACCGAAGAAGUGCAUCGGAAACUGGGAAACUUGAGUGCAGAAGAGGACAGUGGAACUCCAUGUGUAGCGGUGAAAUGCGUAGAUAUAUGGAAGAACACCAGUGGCGAAGGCGGCUGUCUGGUCUGUAACUGACGCUGAGGCUCGAAAGUAUGGGUAGCAAACAGGAUUAGAUACCCUGGUAGUCCAUACCGUAAACGAUGAAUGCUAAGUGUUGGAGGGUUUCCGCCCUUCAGUGCUGCAGCUAACGCAUUAAGCAUUCCGCCUGGGGAGUACGGCCGCAAGGCUGAAACUCAAAGGAAUUGACGGGGGCCCGCACAAGCGGUGGAGCAUGUGGUUUAAUUCGAAGCUACGCGAAGAACCUUACCAGGUCUUGACAUACUAUGCAAAUCUAAGAGAUUAGACGUUCCCUUCGGGGACAUGGAUACAGGUGGUGCAUGGUUGUCGUCAGCUCGUGUCGUGAGAUGUUGGGUUAAGUCCCGCAACGAGCGCAACCCUUAUUAUCAGUUGCCAGCAUUAAGUUGGGCACUCUGGUGAACUGCCGGUGACAAACCGGAGGAAGGUGGGGAUGACGUCAAAUCAUCAUGCCCCUUAUGACCUGGGCUACC
RNAcentral lists this ribosomal RNA (1166 nucleotides) under Lactiplantibacillus plantarum. Its description in RNAcentral is "bacterial SSU rRNA". It matches the Rfam family "Bacterial small subunit ribosomal RNA", at positions 64 to 1218 of the family's 1533-position model. Lineage: Bacteria; Bacillati; Bacillota; Bacilli; Lactobacillales; Lactobacillaceae. The record is from RNAcentral.